CUGGAGGAGCCGUCGCCGGGAUUUUUGUGGCUUGCAUAGUCGGGGCUGUCUUUCUUGUAAGAAAAAUAGCCAAUAGUGCAGAAAAUGCUUUGGAGCCAAGCCCAGAAGAGUUUCCAUGAGUUCCACGGAUUUAAUGUUCCCCAUCUCCCCAAGAAGAGAAGCUCCAUUUAUUUGAAAAUGAUGAUGAAAGAAUCAAGGGCCCCUUGAUAAGCAUCAACCUUUGUACCUAGCCCAAACCCAACAGGGCAGGGGGAAAGCACACCAUCAUGUCCACAGAUGAAAUUAAAAACAAAACAAGAAAACCCUCAAAUGCUUA
Long non-coding RNA from Lacerta agilis (Sand lizard), 316 nucleotides. RefSeq lists it as uncharacterized. Lineage: Eukaryota; Metazoa; Chordata; Lepidosauria; Squamata; Lacertidae. The transcript is spliced from 2 exons. The record is from RefSeq and is a predicted model, not a curated record.